CCCAGAGCAGUAAUGCACACCAUGCCUUCUGCUGUCCUUGCUGGUGGGACAGGGAGAAGGAAUGCCACCUGGAAAGGCUCCUCCACCUCUGCUGUCAUAGAGAAGUCACGCAGGCCUUGGUGCUGAGACCUGCAACUCAAUCUGUGGACAUGACCUUUUGGCAAGAGCCAAGCAUUUCCUGGGAAAUUUCAGAAGAAAAUCUCAAGGAAGCACCACAGAACUGAGAGAUCAAGAUGUUUCUAAGUCCCAGUGGGAGCAUCCAGCCAGUAGAUUGAAAUACACAAUGAUGGAGCAUCCCCCACAUCUGCAAAUAGCCAAUCCAUCAGAAGCUCCAGAGCUGGUCUAGGGAGCAGCGACAGGGCCAAGCUCCACCACCUGUGGUGCCCCUCUACACGAUUGUUUAAAUAAACACGAUGAUUGCA
Passer montanus (Eurasian tree sparrow) is the source of this 422-nucleotide long non-coding RNA. RefSeq lists it as uncharacterized. Lineage: Eukaryota; Metazoa; Chordata; Aves; Passeriformes; Passeridae. The transcript is spliced from 3 exons. The record is from RefSeq and is a predicted model, not a curated record.